RNAcentral lists this long non-coding RNA (523 nucleotides) under Helianthus annuus (common sunflower). RNAcentral describes it as "hypothetical non coding rna". The record is from RNAcentral. Lineage: Eukaryota; Viridiplantae; Streptophyta; Magnoliopsida; Asterales; Asteraceae.
GAGUUGAGAAAGAUAGAAUGAGUGAGUGGACGGUUUUAUGUUGAUUUGUUUCUUGCAAUGCGUUUUACAUGAUCUGUUUAGUGGGGUCCGUGAGUUUACUGGUUAGAUGAUUGCAUGAUAUGCUCGUGUCUAUUAAACUUGUUAAAGUAGAUGGAAUGAUCUCGUUUAAUACCAGUAGGUGAUAUAAAGCAUAUGGUUAUAAAUAGUUGAAUACGUAUCCAUAAACACCAUGUUUUAUACCAUUAAUUACUCCCUAAUAAUUCAUUGAUGGGAAACAUGUGUUUUCUUAUUGCAGCUUGUGUACACUCGUAGUGUCAAGAGAAAUGGACGAGCCAUCUAAGGUUUCAUCACAACACGAGGUAUCCUUUCGGGUUUCGUUUAAUUUUAUUUUGAAUAUUACAAAUGAUACUAUCCUUUGGUUGCAUAGUUAUAAAAGGCGCUAGGCGCACUCAAGGCGCAUAGGUCUCGCCUGGGGCCUAGGUGUAAUGUGAAAAAAAUGCGAGGGCCUGAGAAAAAAAAGCGC